Molecule: ribosomal RNA, 1377 nt
Filed under: uncultured bacterium
Lineage: Bacteria
Description: bacterial SSU rRNA
Rfam family: Bacterial small subunit ribosomal RNA
Source: RNAcentral
CCUGGCUCAGGAUGAACGCUAGCUACAGGCUUAACACAUGCAAGUCGAGGGGCAGCAUGGUCUUAGCUUGCUAAGGCCGAUGGCGACCGGCGCACGGGUGAGUAACACGUAUCCAACCUGCCGUCUACUCUUGGACAGCCUUCUGAAAGGAAGAUUAAUACAAGAUGGCAUCAUGAGUCCGCAUGUUCACAUGAUUAAAGGUAUUCCGGUAGACGAUGGGGAUGCGUUCCAUUAGAUAGUAGGCGGGGUAACGGCCCACCUAGUCUUCGAUGGAUAGGGGUUCUGAGAGGAAGGUCCCCCACAUUGGAACUGAGACACGGUCCAAACUCCUACGGGAGGCAGCAGUGAGGAAUAUUGGUCAAUGGGCGAGAGCCUGAACCAGCCAAGUAGCGUGAAGGAUGACUGCCCUAUGGGUUGUAAACUUCUUUUAUAAAGGAAUAAAGUCGGGUAUGGAUACCCGUUUGCAUGUACUUUAUGAAUAAGGAUCGGCUAACUCCGUGCCAGCAGCCGCGGUAAUACGGAGGAUCCGAGCGUUAUCCGGAUUUAUUGGGUUUAAAGGGAGCGUAGAUGGAUGUUUAAGUCAGUUGUGAAAGUUUGCGGCUCAACCGUAAAAUUGCAGUUGAUACUGGAUAUCUUGAGUGCAGUUGAGGCAGGCGGAAUUCGUGGUGUAGCGGUGAAAUGCUUAGAUAUCACGAAGAACUCCGAUUGCGAAGGCAGCCUGCUAAGCUGCAACUGACAUUGAGGCUCGAAAGUGUGGGUAUCAAACAGGAUUAGAUACCCUGGUAGUCCACACGGUAAACGAUGAAUACUCGCUGUUUGCGAUAUACUGCAAGCGGCCAAGCGAAAGCGUUAAGUAUUCCACCUGGGGAGUACGCCGGCAACGGUGAAACUCAAAGGAAUUGACGGGGGCCCGCACAAGCGGAGGAACAUGUGGUUUAAUUCGAUGAUACGCGAGGAACCUUACCCGGGCUUAAAUUGCAGAUGAAUUACGGUGAAAGCCGUAAGCCGCAAGGCAUCUGUGAAGGUGCUGCAUGGUUGUCGUCAGCUCGUGCCGUGAGGUGUCGGCUUAAGUGCCAUAACGAGCGCAACCCUUGUUGUCAGUUACUAACAGGUUCCGCUGAGGACUCUGACAAGACUGCCAUCGUAAGAUGUGAGGAAGGUGGGGAUGACGUCAAAUCAGCACGGCCCUUACGUCCGGGGCUACACACGUGUUACAAUGGGGGGUACAGAGGGCCGCUACCACGCGAGUGGAUGCCAAUCCCCAAAACCUCUCUCAGUUCGGACUGGAGUCUGCAACCCGACUCCACGAAGCUGGAUUCGCUAGUAAUCGCGCAUCAGCCACGGCGCGGUGAAUACGUUCCCGGGCCUUGUACACAC